UACGUAGGGUGCAAGCGUUAAUCGGAAUUACUGGGCGUAAAGCGUGCGCAGGCGGUUAUGUAAGACAGAUGUGAAAUCCCCGGGCUCAACCUGGGAACUGCAUUUGUGACUGCAUAGCUAGAGUACGGUAGAGGGGGAUGGAAUUCCGCGUGUAGCAGUGAAAUGCGUAGAUAUGCGGAGGAACACCGAUGGCGAAGGCAGUCCCCUGGGCCUGUACUGACGCUCAUGCACGAAAGCGUGGGGAGCAAACGGG
This 253-nucleotide ribosomal RNA is filed under the name uncultured bacterium. RNAcentral describes it as "partial 16S ribosomal RNA". It matches the Rfam family "Bacterial small subunit ribosomal RNA", at positions 524 to 776 of the family's 1533-position model. The record is from RNAcentral.